CCAGACUCCUACGGGAGGCAGCAGUGGGGAAUAUUGCACAAUGGGGGGAACCCUGAUGCAGCGACGCCGCGUGGGUGAAGGAGCACCUCGGUGCGUAAAGCCCUAUCGGCAGGGAAGAAACAGACGGUACCUGGGGAGGAAGCUCCGGCUAACUACGUGCCAGCAGCCGCGGUAAUACGUAGGGAGCGAGCGUUGUCCGGAAUUACUGGGUGUAAAGGGAGCGUAGGCGGGGAUGCAAGUUGGGUGUCAAAACUACCGGCUCAACUGGUAGUCGCACUCAAAACUGCAGCUCUUGAGUGAAGUAGAGGCAGGCGGAAUUCCUAGUGUAGCGGUGAAAUGCGUAGAUAUUAGGAGGAACACCAGUGGCGAAGGCGACUUUCUGGACUGUACCUGACGCUGAGGCGCGAAAGCGUGGGUAGCGAACGGGAUUAGAUACCCUUGUA
RNAcentral lists this ribosomal RNA (443 nucleotides) under uncultured bacterium. RNAcentral's name for it is "bacterial SSU rRNA". It matches the Rfam family "Bacterial small subunit ribosomal RNA", at positions 331 to 792 of the family's 1533-position model. The record is from RNAcentral.